RNAcentral lists this ribosomal RNA (484 nucleotides) under uncultured bacterium. RNAcentral's name for it is "partial 16S ribosomal RNA". It matches the Rfam family "Bacterial small subunit ribosomal RNA", at positions 30 to 507 of the family's 1533-position model. The record is from RNAcentral.
AUUGAACGCUGGCGGCAGGCCUAACACGUGCAAGUCGAGCGGAUGAAGGGAGCUUGCUCCUGGAUUCAGCGGCGGACGGGUGAGGAAGGCCUAGGAAUCUGCCUGGUAGUGGGGGAUAACGUCCGGAAACGGGCGCUAAUACCGCAUACGUCCUGAUGGCGAAUGGGGGGGAUCUUCGGACCUUACGCUAUCGGAUGAGCCUAGGUCGGAUUAGCUAGUUGGUGGGGUAAUGGCCUACCAAGGCGACGAUCCGUAACUGGUCUGAGAGGAUGAUCAGUCACACUGGAACUGAGACACGGUCCAGACUCCUACGGGAGGCAGCAGUGGGGAAUAUUGGACAAUGGGCGAAAGCCUGAUCCAGCCAUGCCGCGUGUGUGAAGAAGGUCUUCGGAUUGUAAAGCACUUUAAGUUGGGAGGAAGGGCAGUAAGUUAAUACCUUGCUGUUUUGACGUUACCAACAGAAUAAGCACCGGCUAACUUCGUG